This 120-nucleotide microRNA precursor is filed under the name Drosophila pseudoobscura. Its description in RNAcentral is "microRNA dps-mir-2575 precursor". The record is from miRBase by way of RNAcentral. Lineage: Eukaryota; Metazoa; Arthropoda; Insecta; Diptera; Drosophilidae.
CCAAACCGUCUGCGUGUGCUUCUUUUGUUACUGAUGGUGCUGUCGGUCCAUAUUCGUUAAGCCAGCGUCAUCAGUGGCAACAGCCGCACCGCAACCCAACCCCCAGAAGAACGAGUAUGG